GCGGCCCUAGUAAAUUAAUUACAUAGCCCUGUCAGUGCUAAAUUACAGACUAAUCCCUGUGGACCACA
Molecule: transfer RNA, 68 nt
Filed under: Rhineura floridana
Lineage: Eukaryota; Metazoa; Chordata; Lepidosauria; Squamata; Rhineuridae
Description: tRNA-Asp
Source: RNAcentral